This 333-nucleotide long non-coding RNA is filed under the name Phoenix dactylifera (date palm). RNAcentral's name for it is "long non-coding RNA (PDAC_LNC000958)". The record is from RNAcentral. Lineage: Eukaryota; Viridiplantae; Streptophyta; Magnoliopsida; Arecales; Arecaceae.
UCAUCAUCAUGACAUUCCUCGACACGCUCAGGCAACCUAGGAGGUUGAGGAGGAACUUGAGUAGCAGUCAGUAUUAAAGCUGCUUCCAUUACCUCUUGGUUUCCCUUUUUUCUUGGCCAUAGCUGCACAACAAUAAAAAGUUAUAGUUAUUUCACAAUAUAAAUGUCAACAAAUCCAAUCAAAGUAAAGAACAAUCAGUGGACCUGUUGCUUUCCCUUUGCUCUUCCUCAUGUCUGCACAAUUAUAAUUUAUAAGUCUAAAAUUAGUUAUAUUAGCAUUCAUAAAUAUGCAUGUUGUAUUUUAAUCUUUCUCAGCCUCAUGCUCCUCUUCCUC